UACUGAAAACUAUUUCACACAUUUUGGACUAUGGUACCAAUUUUGCUGUGCUUUUCUAAGUAGAAGCAGAAGUAAUAUUACCUUUAUAGUCUAAUGGAAAUUCACCAUAUUUCUGCAUUGUCUGUAUAAGAGAAUAAAUUGCAUAGAUGUAUUUUUCAGGACACAGUUUAAUGAAGCAGCAAAAUAUGAAUUUAUGAUUUUGGAUGACAAUGAAAAUACCUUUUCGAUUCUCAGAGCAUAAUUGAGGACAUCUAAUAGCAACGUAUAUUACCCAUCCCAUCCCACUCCCACAAACAUAGACUAGAAGAACAUGGGCCAAAACAUUUAUGAAGGAAAAGACCUUGGUUAACAACAAGAGAUCAAUCGGUUGAUUAUCUAUAUCCAAAAUGCAAUAAAAAUCAGACAGAACAUCCCUCAACUAAAAUCUUCUUCAUCUUCUUCACAAGACUCUAUGAUACCUCUCAUAUACCAUUGGACUAUAAUCUGCAGUAAAUGAGGUUGCAUAUCCCUAACAGCCUUUUCUAUGGUCUUUUCUGCGACUUCGACAAUGGCUAAUUUAUCUUUGUGUCGGCAGUAGAAACUCAAAAUUCUUCAAACUAGGAUCUUCAAGUUCCACGUCAAAAAGGUUCCUAGGAGGUAGGUGGAUGUGAUAAUUUAUAUACAUUACACAACCACUUAGAAGAGCAUUCAUAACAAAUAUCUACAUAAUCAACGUAACGAUGUCUCUAAUGUUUUCCAACACAACACCAUGUUUAAAAUUAAGAUGCACAUAAGAUGUACAUAAUUCUCCUAUUCAGCUUUGCUCUCUAACAUUUAUUAGUCAUCUAUUCAUCGAGCAGAAGAAAGCACAAAAAAUGAUGUAAUUAUUUACGAAUUAUAAAUUAGGAAGAAGGAAAAAAGAUCUUUCAAGUUAAUUUUUGUAAAAUUGAAA
RNAcentral lists this small RNA (931 nucleotides) under Arabidopsis thaliana (thale cress). Its description in RNAcentral is "ATSL130950". The record is from RNAcentral. Lineage: Eukaryota; Viridiplantae; Streptophyta; Magnoliopsida; Brassicales; Brassicaceae.